CUAGAUAUUCACCCCUGCGUAAAUCUAUGAGAACACUCAUGACCGUGUAAAGUGGACCAAAUAAGGCUGCAUAAAUGACAAAUCUCUUAAGCUUGUUCCAACCAUGUUGUGUGCCCUUGUCACUACGGCUCUGAGUCUUAAGAACAUUGUGAGUUUUAUUUAGCCUCAGUUGGAUGUUAUGUUUCUGGCUGUGCCUUCUGCAAUUCCUUUGAUCCUUCACCUGAGUGUUGCUUAUGCUUUUGUGCAUUGGAGAAGUUUUGGGCUGAAAGGAGCUAUUUUGGUUGCUUUCAUUUCGUUGUGGGUGGCUUUUCUGGCUAUUGUCAUUCGUAUGUUUCAGUCUAAAAAAUAUGAACUCACACGGGGAGGAUUCUCUGUUGAAACUUUCAGUUACAUAUUUGUCAAUUUGGAACUUGCUUUGCCUUCUGCUGCAAUGGUUUGGUUAGUGCUUUGUGCUCGACUUUUGAACAUUUUGUCUCCUUUGUUCUGUUGCUUUAAAAUCUGAUUUGUUUAUGUUAUAUCAGCAUAUAGAGAAUUAAUGUAUAAAUCUUUUUAUUUUACGUUUU
Benincasa hispida (wax gourd) is the source of this 563-nucleotide long non-coding RNA. RefSeq lists it as uncharacterized. The record is from RefSeq and is a predicted model, not a curated record. Lineage: Eukaryota; Viridiplantae; Streptophyta; Magnoliopsida; Cucurbitales; Cucurbitaceae.